GGGCUGGGGGCGUCGGGCAGAGCGCCGGUGAAAUUCUGCCAGUGGCUAAGGCGCCUACUGUGCCCCUGGCUCUGCGAGGGUCGGGGGACUGUCACCAGGCCCAAAGUCGCCAGGGAGGAGGGGCGUGAAUGACGAAGCUCAGAUCCGGGCAAAGGAUCGGAGAGGUCUCAUCUCAGAGGCAGGCUCAGGAAGGGAGCUGGGAGAUGCCGGCAGAGGGCCCAGGAGAGGCACACUGCCCACCAGCUAGGAGCUGCUUCUGACCUCGCUGGCCGAUGGCCGGGGACCCUGGCCCCUCCCAACCCCAGGGACACAAAGCAGAAGAUCCCAGAAUGGGGAUGGGGAGAGAGGACCAUCUUGUUCAACUUCCUCAUUCUAUACCAGGAAAACAGGCAUCGGAGAAGGGAAGAGAUACCUCAAGGUCAACGCCAAGUCCAGCAGCUGCUGCUCUCCUGAGUCCUCCACGUGGACUUCUUCUGCGUUCCCACAUCUCAUUCCUCCAAUUUUUUUUUAAAAAUUGUUAGUAGUAGCAUAAUACUAAGAAAGCACUAUUCAAAGGAACAAGAAGACCCACCGUGUGCGGAACGGUCACUGUGCACCAGGCAACGUGACCCGCAAUUUUCUCUCCUAUAAAACGGGGAUGAGAACAGGGCCUCCCCUGCUGACUCAUGGGAAGAGGUUAAGAUCAAAGGUGACAGUGGACAUGAAUCAGCAUUUUAUAAACCACAAGACAUUGUCACCAUGGCUAUCUUUGGUUUUUAUUAUUUAUUUUUUAAUUUUUUAAUUUUUAUUUUUUGAGAGCAGGGUCUCACUCUGUUACCCAGGCUGCAGUGCAGUGGUGCAAUCAUGGCUCUCUGCAGGCUCAAAUCCUGGGCUCAAGCAAUCCUCCACUCAGCCUCCUGAGUAGGUGGGACUAUAGGUGUGUGCCACCUUGCUAUUAAAUUACCUGGCUAUGGCCGGGCACAGUGGCUCACACCUGUAAUCCCAACACUUUGGGAGGCUGAGGCGGGUGGAUCACUUGAGGUCAGGAGUUCAAGACCAGCCUGGCCAACCCCGUCUCUACUGAAAAUACAAAAAUUAGCUGGGCAUGGUGGCACAUGCCUGUAAUCUCAGCUGCUAGAGAGGCUGAGACACAAGAAUUGCUUGAACUUGGGAGGCAGAGGUUGCAGUGGGUCGAGAUUGCCCCACUGCACUCCAGCCUGGGUGACAGAGCGGGACCCUGUCUCCAAAA
RNAcentral lists this long non-coding RNA (1228 nucleotides) under Homo sapiens (human). RNAcentral describes it as "HSALNT0155961". Lineage: Eukaryota; Metazoa; Chordata; Mammalia; Primates; Hominidae. The record is from RNAcentral.